This 381-nucleotide ribosomal RNA is filed under the name uncultured cyanobacterium. Its description in RNAcentral is "bacterial SSU rRNA". It matches the Rfam family "Bacterial small subunit ribosomal RNA", at positions 397 to 792 of the family's 1533-position model. The record is from RNAcentral. Lineage: Bacteria; Bacillati; Cyanobacteriota.
CCGCGUGAGGGAGGAAGGCUCUUGGGUCGUAAACCUCUUUUCUCAGGGAAGAACACAAUGACGGUACCUGAGGAAUAAGCAUCGGCUAACUCCGUGCCAGCAGCCGCGGUAAUACGGAGGAUGCAAGCGUUAUCCGGAAUGAUUGGGCGUAAAGCGUCCGCAGGUGGCUAUGUAAGUCUGCUGUUAAAGAGUCUAGCUCAACUAGAUAAGAGCAGUGGAAACUACAUGGCUAGAGUGCGUUCGGGGCAGAGGGAAUUCCUGGUGUAGCGGUGAAAUGCGUAGAGAUCAGGAAGAACACCGGUGGCGAAGGCGCUCUGCUAGGCCGUAACUGACACUGAGGGACGAAAGCUAGGGGAGUGAAUGGGAUUAGAUACCCCAGUA